UGGGAUGCCGCCCGCUUGACGU
RNAcentral lists this microRNA (22 nucleotides) under Heligmosomoides polygyrus. Its description in RNAcentral is "hpo-miR-10135-5p". The record is from miRBase by way of RNAcentral. Lineage: Eukaryota; Metazoa; Nematoda; Chromadorea; Rhabditida; Heligmosomidae.